AACGAACGCUGGCGGCGUGCCUAACACAUGCAAGUCGAACGAGCAAGGGGCUUCGGCUCUGAGUAAAGUGGAGCACGGGUGAGUAACACGUGGGUAACCUGCCUCUAAGAUUGGGAUAACUCGUCGAAAGAUGAGCUAAUACAGAAUAAGACCAUAGUUUCCGCGGGAACAGGCGUUAAAGGUAGCCUCUGCUUGCAAGCCAUCUCUUAGAGAUGGGCCUGCGUACCAUUAGCUAGUUGGUAGGGUAACGGCCUACCAAAGCAAAGAUGGUUAGCUGGACUGGGGGGAUGGACAGCCACACUGGGACUGGGACACGGUCCCAGCUCCUACGGGGGGCAGCAAUGGGGAAUAUUGCGCAAUGGGCGAAAGCUUGGCGCGGCAACGCCGCGGGAGUGAUGAAGGCCUUCGGGUCGUAAAGCUCGGUCGGGUGGGACGAAUGCUCCGGGGAUUAACAGCCUCGGGAGGUGACGGUACCUUCAAAGAAAGCACCGGCUAACUCUGUG
This 503-nucleotide ribosomal RNA is filed under the name uncultured bacterium. Its description in RNAcentral is "partial 16S ribosomal RNA". It matches the Rfam family "Bacterial small subunit ribosomal RNA", at positions 29 to 507 of the family's 1533-position model. The record is from RNAcentral.